UACGUAGGGGGCAAGCGUUGUCCGGAUUUAUUGGGUGUAAAGAGCGUGUAGGCGGCUAGGUAGGUCCGUUGUGAAAACUCGAGGCUCAACCUCGAGACGUCGAUGGAAACCAUCUAGCUAGAGUCCGGAAGAGGAGAGUGGAAUUCCGUGGUGUAGCGGUGAAAUGCGCAGAUAUCAGGAGGAACACCGAUGGCGAAGGCAGGUCUCUGGGCAUUAACUGACGCUGAGGAGCGAAAGCAUGGGGAGCGAACAGG
This 254-nucleotide ribosomal RNA is filed under the name uncultured bacterium. RNAcentral describes it as "partial 16S ribosomal RNA". It matches the Rfam family "Bacterial small subunit ribosomal RNA", at positions 524 to 776 of the family's 1533-position model. The record is from RNAcentral.